UACGGAGGUGGCAAGCGUUGCUCGGAAUUACUGGGCGUAAAGGGCGCGUAGGCGGCCCCUUUUGUCGCGUGUGAAAGCCCCGGGCUCAACCUGGGAGGUGCGCGCGAAACGGGGGGGCUUGAGUUCGGGAGAGGAGCGUGGAAUUCCCAGUGUAGAGGUGAAAUUCGUAGAUAUUGGGAAGAACACCGGUGGCGAAGGCGGCGCUCUGGACCGAGACUGACGCUGAGGAGCGAAAGCUAGGGGAGCAAACGGG
This 253-nucleotide ribosomal RNA is filed under the name uncultured bacterium. RNAcentral describes it as "partial 16S ribosomal RNA". It matches the Rfam family "Bacterial small subunit ribosomal RNA", at positions 524 to 776 of the family's 1533-position model. The record is from RNAcentral.